CAAAUUAGGAGAAAGAAGGGAACUUUUCAAUCUGAUAAAGAGCAUCUAUUAAAAAACGUAUAGCUGACACCCUACUUAAGGGUGCAAGACUGAAUACUGAAUACUUUUCACUAAUCUUAGUGUUUAGUGCAAGGAUAUUUACUCUCACUUCUAUUCAACAUUGUGCUGGAGAUUCUAGCCAGUACUAUAAGUUAAGAUUUUUGAAGUCACUUAUAUGUUAUGGAGAAGAAGGAUAAAAUGGUCUUCAUUCAAAAACACUGAUUACCUAUGUAGAAAGUUUCAUGGAAUGUACAGAAGAACUUUUAGAACUAAUGAGUAAGUUUAGCUCUUCCUUGGUACUGCCUGCAGAGGUGGCAGCCAUCUCUACUCAGCAUCAUGGCUACCCUCAGACUUCCAAUGAAGCCCAAGAUAGUUAAAAAGGGGACCAAGAAGUUCAUCUGGUACCAGUCAGACUGCUAUGUCAAAAUUAAGUGCAACUAUUGGAAAUCAGAGGCAUUGACAAUAGGCUGUGCAGAAGAAGAGCCAGAUCUUGAUGCCCAACAUUGGUUAUGGGAGAAACAAGAAAGCAAAGCACAUGCGGCCCAGUGGCUUCCAGAAGUUUCUAGUCUGCAACAUCAAGGAGCUUGAGGUGCUGCUGAUGUGCAACAAAUCUUACUGUGCAGAGAUUGCUCACAAUGUCUCCUCCAAGAACCACAGAGCCAUUGUGGAAAGAGCAUCCCAGAUGACCAUGAGAGUCACCAAUCUUUGAGGCUGCACAUCAAAGAAAAUGAAUAGACAGUAUUAUGUGCACAUUGUAUAUGUGCUAAUAAAAAUAUAAAACUACAAAAAAAAAAAAAGCACUAAUGAGUAAGUUAGCAUAGUCGCAGGACACUAUCAAAAUCAAAAUUCACUCAUAUGUCUUCAUAUUAGGAACAAACACUUAGAAGUUUAAUUUUUAAAUGCAUUGUUAAAAUAGUAUUGAAAUUAUUGAAUAUUUAUGAAUAACUUUGACAAAAGAUGUGUAAGUCUUGUACAUUGAAAUCUUCGAUUGCUGGGAAAAACUAAGACCUAAAUAAACUGAGAGAUAUACUAUGUUCAUGUUUCAGAAGACUCACUAUUUCUAAAGUAUAAAUUCCCCCCCAGUUGAUCUAUAAAUUUAUUGCAAUACCAAUAAAAAUAUCAGCAGACUUUUUAAUAAAAUUUGACAAAGGAAUUCUAAAAUUUAUAUAGAAACGGAAAGGACUUAGACUACCCAAAACAAAUUUGAAAAAGAAUGUUGAAUUUUGGAUAACUAACAUUAAUAACACCAUUUAAAGACUUAUUAUAAAGCUCCAGAAUCAAAACUGUAGUCCAGGCAUAGAGACAAAGAGAUCAAAGGAACAGAAUAGAAUCUCUAGACACACACAUAUGACUUUUGCCAAAGAUGCUGAGACACUUAAACGAGGAAGGAUAAUGUUUUCAAGAAAGAAAUCUUUACAAGAAAUCUUCUCAAUAACUGAAUAUGCAAAAAAUUAAGCCUUUGACCUUACCUUACACCAUUUGCAAAAAAUAACUCAAAAUGGAUUGUAGAUCUAUAUGUAAGAGAUAAAACUAUAAAACUUCUAGGAGAAAAUCUUAGUGAACUUGGGUUUGGCAAGGAUUUUUAAACAUGACACAAAAAGCAGACACUAUAAAAAGAAAAAAAUCAAUAAAUUUGACUUCUUAAGAAUUAAAAACUUUUGCUCUUCAAAAACACUGUUAGUUUUCAGUCUGCCAUGUAAGGAGCUUGAAAGUCAUCAUUGCCAACCUCACCACAAGAAAAAAAGAUGAGCAAACUGAAAAUUAGCAACUGUUCUUAGAUGCAUCAGAGUUUCAAGAUCACAAGUGCUGCGCCCCCCCCCCCCCACUCAAAUUUGCGAGACAGAGAAGCAGAUAAAGACAAUCACAACUUACAGGAUUAAGGAACUCCACAGGAACAAGUACCAGGGUAGGAAAACCUAAACUGUAAUUGAUGGUUUGCUGGAAUUUGGUGUGGACAAGUUUGAGUUAAAAACUCCAAGAAGGCCAGUCUUUCAAGGUUGCCCAUGCUUAUCUGAGCUUUAUCUUCAAAAGAGCUACCAAGUUCUCACAGUUAGAGACAGAGAAAAAUCCCCUUAUGCUUCUGGCAGGGGGUGGGGAAAACAGCCAUUCUGAAAUACAUUCAGAGCGUUCCGUUCAUCUGUUUUACCAGAUGAACAGAAACUGUUUUUACCAGAGCUUAAUUGACCUGGGGGAAGGGAAAUACCCAACUCCAGCCUCCUCUAGCCUUCCUGUCUCACCUAGGAGGGAAACAAUUGAAAAGCACUUGUGGGGGUCACAGCCCAGGAUCACAGGCUCAUUAAAAGAUUGAGGCUUAAUCAUAGGACUAUAGAACACUUACCUCUCUUCACACCUCACACCCAUAUCAGUAGGGCUCCUGUAUAAUAACAGGGGGACACAACUAAAAGAACUGCAUGUCUCAGACCUAACUUAAGAAAAAGGCUCCAGAGAAGCUCAAAGACAAUAGAAGAGAUAAAAACAAAAAUACCAGAGGAAAUUUUAUCCUCUGAUAUCCAUAACAAACAAUAAACACAGCCUAACCUAUAGCCACAUAAACAUAACACCUCACAUGAAACCCUAUUUACCUCAGUUCGUUUUUAUUCAGUGCAUCAUGUUGGCUUCCAACAAAAAAAUUACAAGUUGUACUAAAAGACAAGAAAUAAUACAUUUUGAAGAGACAGAGCAAGGAUCAGAAUAAGACUCAGUUAUGGCAGAGAUACUGAAAUUGCCAAACUGGGGAUUUAAAACAACAUGACUCAUAUGCUAUGAUCUUUAAUGGAAAAAGUGUGCAAGAACAAAUAAGCAGAAAGAUGGAAGCAAAUGGAUAUACUAGAAAUCAAAAAGCACUGUAAUAAAAAAUGAAGAAUGCCUUUGAUGAACUCGUCAAUAGACUGGACACUAGCCCAGGAAGGAUUAAAUCAGCUUAAAGAUACAUCAAUAGAAACUUCCAAAGCUGAAAUGCAAAGAGAAACAAGAAUGAAAAAGAUGGAACAGAAUAUCCAAGAACUGUGAGAAAAUUCCAAAAGGUGUAACAUAUGCAUAAUGGGAAUACCAAAACAAGAAUGAACGAACGAAUGAACGAAAGAAAGAAAGAAAGAAAGAAAGAAAGAAAGAAAGA
This is an RNA transcript of Mirounga angustirostris (Northern elephant seal), 3154 nucleotides long. It is a transcript of the gene named large ribosomal subunit protein eL32-like, with no coding region annotated. The transcript has a single exon. Lineage: Eukaryota; Metazoa; Chordata; Mammalia; Carnivora; Phocidae. The record is from RefSeq and is a predicted model, not a curated record.